Molecule: transfer RNA, 129 nt
Filed under: Penicillium olsonii
Lineage: Eukaryota; Fungi; Ascomycota; Eurotiomycetes; Eurotiales; Aspergillaceae
Description: tRNA-Ala
Rfam family: tRNA (bases 24-128)
About the family: Transfer RNA (tRNA) molecules are approximately 80 nucleotides in length. Their secondary structure includes four short double-helical elements and three loops (D, anti-codon, and T loops). Further hydrogen bonds mediate the characteristic L-shaped molecular structure. tRNAs have two regions of fundamental functional importance: the anti-codon, which is responsible for specific mRNA codon recognition, and the 3' end, to which the tRNAs corresponding amino acid is attached (by aminoacyl-tRNA synthetases). tRNAs cope with the degeneracy of the genetic code in two manners: having more than one tRNA (with a specific anti-codon) for a particular amino acid; and 'wobble' base-pairing, i.e. permitting non-standard base-pairing at the 3rd anti-codon position.
Source: RNAcentral
GCUACCAGUGGACCAAGCUCGAUGGGCGUGUGACUCAGUGGUAGAGUGUUCGCUUUGCAUCUGAAUAGCUCCAAGUGGCUGUUUUCCAAGCUUGCGAAAAGUCCGGUGUUCGAUCCACCGCUCGUCCAA